UUGCUUAUUUCUAGAGAUAGAAAGUUACUUCGGUACAUCGGUGACAGGUGGUGCAUGGUUGUCGUCAGCUCGUGUCGUGAGAUGUUGGGUUAAGUCCCGCAACGAGCGCAACCCCUAUUGUUAGUUGCCAUCAUUCAGUUGGGCACUCUAGCGAGACUGCCGGUAAUAAACCGGAGGAAGUGGGAUGACGUCAAAUCAUCAUGCCCCUUAUGACCUGGGCUACACACGUGCUACAAUGGUUGGUACAACGAGUUGCGAGUCGGUGACGGCGAGCUAAUCUCUUAAAGCCAAUCUCAGUUCGGAUUGUAGGCUGCAACUCGCCUACAUGAAGUCGGAAUCGCUAGUAAUCGCGGAUCAGCACGCCGCGGUGAAUACGUUCCCGGGCCUU
RNAcentral lists this ribosomal RNA (388 nucleotides) under uncultured Streptococcus sp. Its description in RNAcentral is "bacterial SSU rRNA". It matches the Rfam family "Bacterial small subunit ribosomal RNA", at positions 989 to 1382 of the family's 1533-position model. The record is from RNAcentral. Lineage: Bacteria; Bacillati; Bacillota; Bacilli; Lactobacillales; Streptococcaceae.